Molecule: transfer RNA, 80 nt
Filed under: Cryptomonas curvata
Lineage: Eukaryota; Cryptophyceae; Cryptomonadales; Cryptomonadaceae
Description: tRNA-Arg
Rfam family: tRNA
About the family: Transfer RNA (tRNA) molecules are approximately 80 nucleotides in length. Their secondary structure includes four short double-helical elements and three loops (D, anti-codon, and T loops).
Source: RNAcentral
GACCUUGUAGCGUAAUGGAUAUCGCACCAGACUUCUAUUUUGAAAUCUGGGGAUUGCGGGUUCGAUUCCCGUCAAGGUUA